Molecule: ribosomal RNA, 251 nt
Filed under: uncultured prokaryote
Description: partial 16S rRNA
Rfam family: Bacterial small subunit ribosomal RNA
Source: RNAcentral
ACGUAUGUCGCAAGCGUUAUCCGGAAUUAUUGGGCGUAAAGGGCAUCUAGGCGGUCAAUCAAGUCGAAGGUGAAAACUUGUGGCUCAACCAUAAGCUUGCCUACGAAACUGAUUAACUAGAGUACUGGAGAGGUGGACGGAACUACACGAAUAGUGGUGCACGUGGUAGAUAUGUGUGGGAAGGCAGGUGAUGUAGAUAGUCCAGUAGACAUAAACUGCCGUUUAAGUGCAUGGCUUAGUUGACCAAAAAG